UAAUCUCAGACAUCACUUAGAUGAGCAGCCCACCAGUCUCCUUGAGAGUCAGGAGGACCCACAGAGAUCUCCUGAUUGGAUCAGCAGGGGUCUCUUUGGAUGUAAUUUUGGAAUCAGAGACCAAAACUCUGACUGUCCUCCUUGGGGAGCCUGCCACCUUCCGUUGCAACGUAACUGGAGGGAACUGGAAGAACUAUCAGAUGAGUUGGUAUAAGAGGAAUGAGAAUAACGUCUUAACUUUAGUAUACAGACUAAGCAAUAAUUCUAAUGAAAAUGUAAGGGGUAAUUUCAAAGGGAAAAUUGAUACUUCAAAAAAUCAAUAUGUAUUCAACAUUCAAAAAGCAACAAUAAAAGAUGUUGGAACUUACUACUGUGGAUCCGACAUCCACAGUGCUACAGUCCUGAUUCCGAUCGCCUCAGAUCUCCCCGAGUCAAACCAAGGCAGCAGAUCCAACAAGAGACCAUCUUUGGCUAAAAUGAGCACCACCCCUGAGAAUCCAAACUGAAAGAUAACUCACUAUUUGGGACACACUGUUCUCAUGACAGAGGAAGAAGAACAAAAGAGCUGCUGGCAGAAACUCAGAGUGCUCCUCAGAGCAUUUGCCAGGAUAUGACAUACAUUAUGUCCACCCAUGUCCAUGUCCACCAUGUUCAAAGCCUUUGGGCCACACUCAAACUCAGCUGGGCAGGAAGUUGUACCCCUCCCUCAGAAGGCACCAUAGGAAA
Odocoileus virginianus texanus is the source of this 726-nucleotide non-coding RNA. The record is from the annotation of a RefSeq genome assembly. NCBI's taxonomy places the organism in Eukaryota, Metazoa, Chordata, Mammalia, Artiodactyla, Cervidae.